AUAAUACUCCAUAGAUUAGAGACACUGGAAUGUUCUUUAGUCGAAAGUUCUGGCGCCUUAGGAUGGAUCUGCGGUCGAUUAGGUUGUUGUUGGGGUAACGGCCCAACAAGCCUGUAAUCGAUACGGGUUGCGGGAGCAAGAGCCCGGAGAUGGAAUCUGAGACACGAUUCCAGGCCCUACGGGGCGCAGCAGGCGCGAAAACUUUACAAUGCAGGAAACUGUGAUAAGGGAACUCCGAGUGCCCGUAUACGCGGGCUGUCCAGGUGUUUAAAAAUCAUCUGAAGAAAGGGCCGGGCAAGACCGGUGCCAGCCGCCGCGGUAAUACCGGCGGCUCGAGUGGUGGCCACUAUUAUUGGGCUUAAAGCGUCCGUAGCUGGACCGAUAAGUCUCUUGGGAAAUCCGCCGGCUCAACCGGCGGGCGUCUAAGGGAUACUGUUAGUCUAGGGACCGGGAGAGGUGAGAGGUACUCCGGGGGUAGGAGUGAAAUCCUGUAAUCCCCGGGGGACCACCGAUGGCGAAGGCAUCUCACCAGAACGGCUCCGACAGUGAGGGACGAAAGCUGGGGGAGCGAACCGGAUUAAAUACCCGGGUAGUCCCAGCCGUAAACUAUGCGCGUUAGGUGU
RNAcentral lists this ribosomal RNA (623 nucleotides) under uncultured archaeon. Its description in RNAcentral is "bacterial SSU rRNA". It matches the Rfam family "Archaeal small subunit ribosomal RNA", at positions 146 to 774 of the family's 1478-position model. The record is from RNAcentral.